RNAcentral lists this transfer RNA (70 nucleotides) under Dipodomys ordii (Ord's kangaroo rat). It matches the Rfam family "tRNA". From Rfam's summary of the family: Transfer RNA (tRNA) molecules are approximately 80 nucleotides in length. The record is from Rfam by way of RNAcentral. Lineage: Eukaryota; Metazoa; Chordata; Mammalia; Rodentia; Heteromyidae.
GGUAUUGUGGCUCAGUGGUACAGUGCUUGCCUAGCAUGCAUGAAGCCCUGGGUUUGAUUCCUCAGUGCCA